UUAAAUUGAAGAGUUUGAUCAUGGCUCAGAUUGAACGCUGGCGGCAGGCCUAACACAUGCAAGUCGAACGGUAACAGGAAGCAGCUUGCUGCUUCGCUGACGAGUGGCGGACGGGUGAGUAAUGUCUGGGAAACUGCCUGAUGGAGGGGGAUAACUACUGGAAACGGUGGCUAAUACCGCAUAACGUCGCAAGACCAAAGAGGGGGACCUUCGGGCCUCUUGCCAUCAGAUGUGCCCAGAUGGGAUUAGCUUGUUGGUGAGGUAACGGCUCACCAAGGCGACGAUCCCUAGCUGGUCUGAGAGGAUGACCAGCCACACUGGAACUGAGACACGGUCCAGACUCCUACGGGAGGCAGCAGUGGGGAAUAUUGCACAAUGGGCGCAAGCCUGAUGCAGCCAUGCCGCGUGUAUGAAGAAGGCCUUCGGGUUGUAAAGUACUUUCAGCGGGGAGGAAGGUGUUGUGGUUAAUAACCGCAGCAAUUGACGUUACCCGCAGAAGAAGCACCGGCUAACUCCGUGCCAGCAGCCGCGGUAAUACGGAGGGUGCAAGCGUUAAUCGGAAUUACUGGGCGUAAAGCGCACGCAGGCGGUCUGUCAAGUCGGAUGUGAAAUCCCCGGGCUCAACCUGGGAACUGCAUUCGAAACUGGCAGGCUUGAGUCUUGUAGAGGGGGGUAGAAUUCCAGGUGUAGCGGUGAAAUGCGUAGAGAUCUGGAGGAAUACCGGUGGCGAAGGCGGCCCCCUGGACAAAGACUGACGCUCAGGUGCGAAAGCGUGGGGAGCAAACAGGAUUAGAUACCCUGGUAGUCCACGCCGUAAACGAUGUCUACUUGGAGGUUGUGCCCUUGAGGCGUGGCUUCCGGAGCUAACGCGUUAAGUAGACCGCCUGGGGAGUACGGCCGCAAGGUUAAAACUCAAAUGAAUUGACGGGGGCCCGCACAAGCGGUGGAGCAUGUGGUUUAAUUCGAUGCAACGCGAAGAACCUUACCUGGUCUUGACAUCCACGGAACUUUCCAGAGAUGGAUUGGUGCCUUCGGGAACCGUGAGACAGGUGCUGCAUGGCUGUCGUCAGCUCGUGUUGUGAAAUGUUGGGUUAAGUCCCGCAACGAGCGCAACCCUUAUCCUUUGUUGCCAGCGGUCCGGCCGGGAACUCAAAGGAGACUGCCAGUGAUAAACUGGAGGAAGGUGGGGAUGACGUCAAGUCAUCAUGGCCCUUACGACCAGGGCUACACACGUGCUACAAUGGCGCAUACAAAGAGAAGCGACCUCGCGAGAGCAAGCGGACCUCAUAAAGUGCGUCGUAGUCCGGAUUGGAGUCUGCAACUCGACUCCAUGAAGUCGGAAUCGCUAGUAAUCGUGGAUCAGAAUGCCACGGUGAAUACGUUCCCGGGCCUUGUACACACCGCCCGUCACACCAUGGGAGUGGGUUGCAAAAGAAGUAGGUAGCUUAACCUUCGGGAGGGCGCUUACCACUUUGUGAUUCAUGACUGGGGUGAAGUCGUAACAAGGUAACCGUAGGGGAACCUGCGGUUGGAUCACCUCCUUACCUUAAAGAAGC
RNAcentral lists this ribosomal RNA (1556 nucleotides) under Salmonella enterica subsp. enterica serovar Montevideo str. CDC 08-1942. RNAcentral describes it as "bacterial SSU rRNA". It matches the Rfam family "Bacterial small subunit ribosomal RNA". Lineage: Bacteria; Pseudomonadati; Pseudomonadota; Gammaproteobacteria; Enterobacterales; Enterobacteriaceae. RNAcentral also lists the same sequence under 1 other name. The record is from RNAcentral.